UGGUCUGAGAGGAUGAUCAGUCACACUGGAACUGAGACACGGUCCAGACUCCUACGGGAGGCAGCAGUAGGGAAUAUUGCGCAAUGGGGGAAACCCUGACGCAGCAACGCCGCGUGGAGGAUGACACUUUUCGGAGCGUAAACUCCUUUUCUUAGGGAAGAAUUCUGACGGUACCUAAGGAAUAAGCACCGGCUAACUCCGUGCCAGCAGCCGCGGUAAUACGGAGGGUGCAAGCGUUACUCGGAAUCACUGGGCGUAAAGGGCGCGUAGGCGGAUUAUCAAGUCUCUUGUGAAAUCUAAUGGCUUAACCAUUAAACUGCUUGGGAAACUGAUAGUCUAGAGUGAGGGAGAGGCAGAUGGAAUUGGUGGUGUAGGGGUAAAAUCCGUAGAUAUCACCAAGAAUACCCAUUGCGAAGGCGAUCUGCUGGAACUCAACUGACGCUAAGGCGCGAAAGCGUGGGGAGCAAACAGGAUUAGAUACCCUGGUAGUCCACGCCCUAAACGAUGUACACUAGUUGUUGGGGUGCUAGUCAUCUCAGUAAUGCAGCUAACGCAUUAAGUGUACCGCCUGGGGAGUACGGUCGCAAGAUUAAAACUCAAAGGAAUAGACGGGGACCCGCACAAGCGGUGGAGCAUGUGGUUUAAUUCGAAGAUACGCGAAGAACCUUACCUGGGCUUGAUAUCCUAAGAACCUUUUAGAGAUAAGAGGGUGCUAGCUUGCUAGAACUUAGAGACAGGUGCUGCACGGCUGUCGUCAGCUCGUGUCGUGAGAUGUUGGGUUAAGUCCCGCAACGAGCGCAACCCACGUAUUUAGUUGCUAACGGUUCGGCCGAGCACUCUAAAUAGACUGCCUUCGUAAGGAGGAGGAAGGUGUGGACGACGUCAAGUCAUCAUGGCCCUUAUGCCCAGGGCGACACACGUGCUACAAUGGCAUAUACAAUGAGACGCAAUACCGCGAGGUGGAGCAAAUCUAUAAAAUAUGUCCCAGUUCGGAUUGUUCUCUGCAACUCGAGAGCAUGAAGCCGGAAUCGCUAGUAAUCGUAGAUCAGCCAUGCUACGGUGAAUACGUUCCCGGGUCUUGUACUCACCGCCCGUCACACCAU
Molecule: ribosomal RNA, 1103 nt
Filed under: Campylobacter coli
Lineage: Bacteria; Pseudomonadati; Campylobacterota; Epsilonproteobacteria; Campylobacterales; Campylobacteraceae
Description: bacterial SSU rRNA
Rfam family: Bacterial small subunit ribosomal RNA
Source: RNAcentral